AACGAACGCUGGCGGCGCGUCUUAAGCAUACAAGUCGAACGGCAAGAGAGGAGCUUGCUUCUCUCCUAGAGUGGCGGACUGGUGAGGAACACGUGGGUAAUCUACCCUUAAGAUGGGGAUAGCUGCUAGAAAUAGCAGGUAAUACCGAAUACACUCGGCAUAUCACAAGAGGUGUUGAGGAAAGGAAGCUACGGCUUCGCUUGAGGAUGAGCUUGCGUCCCAUUAGCUAGUUGGUGAGGUAAAGGCCCACCAAGGCGACGAUGGGUAUCCGGCCUGAGAGGGUGAACGGACACAUUGGGACUGAGAUACGGCCCAAACUCCUACGGGAGGCAGCAGCUAAGAAUAUUCCGCAAUGGACGGAAGUCUGACGGAGCGACGCCGCGUGGAUGAAGAAGGCUGAAAAGUUGUAAAAUCCUUUUGUUGAUGAAGAAUAAGGGUGAGAGGGAAUGCUCAUCUGAUGACGGUAAUCGACGAAUAAGCCCCGGCUAAGUACGUG
This 496-nucleotide ribosomal RNA is filed under the name uncultured bacterium. RNAcentral's name for it is "partial 16S ribosomal RNA". It matches the Rfam family "Bacterial small subunit ribosomal RNA", at positions 29 to 507 of the family's 1533-position model. The record is from RNAcentral.